GUGCUCAUUUUGUAACACAUAUACUAGUACUGGAAUAAGACUAAAGAUUAACUUACUCUCUGCACCAGGAUGACACACAAAUUUGUAAAGUGUUCCAGAUUUUU
Molecule: small nuclear RNA, 104 nt
Organism: Erinaceus europaeus (western European hedgehog)
Lineage: Eukaryota; Metazoa; Chordata; Mammalia; Eulipotyphla; Erinaceidae
Source: Ensembl